Molecule: ribosomal RNA, 253 nt
Filed under: uncultured bacterium
Lineage: Bacteria
Description: partial 16S ribosomal RNA
Rfam family: Bacterial small subunit ribosomal RNA
Source: RNAcentral
UACGAAGGGGGCUAGCGUUGCUCGGAAUCACUGGGCGUAAAGGGCGCGUAGGCGGCUGUACAAGUCAAAGGUGAAAUCCCUCGGCUCAACUGAGGAACUGCCUUUGAAACUGUACGGCUUGAGGCCGGGAGGGGGUAGCGGAAUUCCCAGUGUAGCGGUGAAAUGCGUAGAUACUGGGAGGAACACCAGUGGCGAAGGCGGCUACCUGGACCGGUUCUGACGCUGAGGCGCGAAAGUGUGGGUAGCAAACAGG